CAGCAGCACCUCGACCCCUCCCGUGAGAUAGCCAGCAGCAGCAGCAGCGAUCUUGUCCACGUCCUCAUGGAGGAGGACCACAAACACCAAGGGUCUCUCAUGAGGUUCAGUACGUACAGACCAUAUCAAAGCACUACUGUCGGAGCUCAGUUACCAUGGUCUGGGCGAUGGCGGAGCUGAUCCGAAAGCCGCAAGUGCUCAAGAAAGUGCAGGAUGAGAUCAGGGCCGUGGUGGGUGACAAAGAGAGGGUGCAGCCUGAUGACAUGCCCAAGCUCAAGUACCUCAACAUGGUGGUGAAGGAAACGCUGUGGCUACACCCGGCAUAUACUACCUCCGUUCAUAGAUAUAGCUUGUCCUAAACGUCAUGUAUUUAUAGACGGAGGAAGCACGUAAGUUCAACUUAACGCUUAGUGAGCUAUGUGUUUAACAUAGAAAUAAAUAGUCUCAUCUCUUCGUGCAUAUAUGUAUAUGUGGUCUAUGACACACAUCAUGCAUAUAAGUUAGGCAAAAUUAGCUCCCGGACAUCGUUCAAUCGUGGUUUUUGCCACAGGACACUAAAAAAGAGUGGUUUUGCUAGAACACACUCUUUAACUACGGCUGCUGCGACACCUACCGACGCCCCGCGCGCAGCCCCUCUUGAAGAACAAGCACGGUUGGCUGAGGAUAGAAGAUGGAGACCCCCAUGAUUCCUCAGCGAGAUUUUCCCGCAGGAUCAGGCUGAUCUCUCAUGGGUUCCUUUCCCGCAGGAUCAGGCUGAUCUCUCAUGGGUUCCUGAUGGGAUGGAUGCCAGUUCAGCCUACAGACUUGCUAUGCGUGUAGGUGCUUAUGUGAAACUAAGUGAUGAUGGCACUCGUAUGUAUUGUGAUGCUUGUAACAUUCCAAGGAUUUUAGACAGGAAUAGCACAAAUUGGAAUGAUUUGCUUGUUGACAUUGGUACACAACUAACAUAGCUGAAACAUUCAACAGCUGGAUUAGGCAUGAAAAAUCCCUGCAUGUUGUUGAUCUUAUGGAUAGGAUCAGACAAUUAUGCAUGGAGAAAAUGUUCUUAAGAAGAAAAAUUGCUAAGAAGCUUGAAGAUAAGAUACUGCCAAAUGUGAUGAAGGACCUUAAUGCAAGGAGCAGGGGGCUGAAAUAAGGUGAAAUGUUAGGUGAAGUUGAAGGUGUUACAAGAGAUCUAGUUCAUUGGAGGCAUACCGUUGAUCUUCAGGAGAGGAAGCGUACCUGUAGGCGCUGGCAAGUUAUGGUCUGCCAUGUACACAUGCCUUGUGUAUUAUAACCUCAAUUUGAGGUAAUAUUGAAGACUGUGUUCAUGACUACUAUUUUGUGGCAAAGUUCAAGAAAGCCUAUGAAAAGUCUGUGAAGCCAAUGACAGAUAGUAAACAGUGGCUUCAAGUUAAUGUUGUGGCCUCCACUUCUGAAAAGGGCACCAGGUCAACCAAGGGAGAGAAGGUACAAAUUAGCUGCAAAAGGGGACUCUGGAAAGAGAACCACAAGUAGCCCUGUUCAUGGGUUCAGGGAAACCGGGAACCAGCCCGCACCCAACCCUGCUGGACCUGUCAUUCCGGUUCCUAGCGCGGGUUGGACCCCGACCUGCGUGGACCCGGAUGAAGCAAGCGGGGGUCAGCUGGUUUGUGGUUUUAACCUGUCAAACCCAUCGAGGCCAGCAUCAAGGGGGAAAAAAAGGGGUGGUGACGGCGAAGAUGCUACACGACGGUGUCGCUCAAGGCCUUGAGCUGGAGGCCGCGCUGGCGGCCGAAUCAGCAUUGCGGCUGCGGGAAGCGGUUGCCUCCAUGGGUGGGUCCCUCGAAAUGGACAUCGACUCGCCGCCACUUCUCACCGUGGAGCUCGUCGGCGACGGGUCAAUCCCCACUCCCGAUCCAUCCAGGCUGAACAAGGAUGGUGAAGACCGAUCUUUGGAGAUUGAAUAGGUUAAUUGCUAUGCAGAAAAGGUUAUCGGAAGCAAAUAGGGAACCAUUGCCAACUCAAAUGAGGAAGAGAACAAGAUUAACUUCAUCAGUUAAUACACCAAAUAUUCAGUC
Long non-coding RNA from Setaria italica (foxtail millet), 2039 nucleotides. RefSeq lists it as uncharacterized. The record is from RefSeq and is a predicted model, not a curated record. NCBI's taxonomy places the organism in Eukaryota, Viridiplantae, Streptophyta, Magnoliopsida, Poales, Poaceae. The transcript is spliced from 6 exons.